RNAcentral lists this ribosomal RNA (472 nucleotides) under Pseudoalteromonas tunicata. RNAcentral's name for it is "bacterial SSU rRNA". It matches the Rfam family "Bacterial small subunit ribosomal RNA", at positions 377 to 841 of the family's 1533-position model. Lineage: Bacteria; Pseudomonadati; Pseudomonadota; Gammaproteobacteria; Alteromonadales; Pseudoalteromonadaceae. The record is from RNAcentral.
GCAAGCCUGAUGCAGCCAUGCCGCGUGUGUGAAGAAGGCCUUCGGGUUGUAAAGCACUUUCAGUCAGGAGGAAAGGUUAGUAGUUAAUACCUGCUAGCUGUGACGUUACUGACAGAAGAAGCACCGGCUAACUCCGUGCCAGCAGCCGCGGUAAUACGGAGGGUGCGAGCGUUAAUCGGAAUUACUGGGCGUAAAGCGUACGCAGGCGGUUUGUUAAGCGAGAUGUGAAAGCCCCGGGCUUAACCUGGGAACUGCAUUUCGAACUGGCAAACUAGAGUGUGAUAGAGGGUGGUAGAAUUUCAGGUGUAGCGGUGAAAUGCGUAGAGAUCUGAAGGAAUACCGAUGGCGAAGGCAGCCACCUGGGUCAACACUGACGCUCAUGUACGAAAGCGUGGGGAGCAAACAGGAUUAGAUACCUUGAUAGAACACGCCGUAAACGAAGUCUACUAGCAGCUGGGGCCUUCGAGGAACU